GUUACCAUAGCUUAGCAGGAAGAGCAACGGACUGAAAAUCCGUGUUUCUGUGCUUCGAUUCCACUUGGUACCA
Molecule: transfer RNA, 73 nt
Filed under: Bacteroidota bacterium
Lineage: Bacteria; Pseudomonadati; Bacteroidota
Description: Bacteroidetes bacterium (marine metagenome) tRNA-Phe
Rfam family: tRNA
About the family: Transfer RNA (tRNA) molecules are approximately 80 nucleotides in length.
Source: RNAcentral